This 130-nucleotide long non-coding RNA is filed under the name Sus scrofa (pig). RNAcentral describes it as "lncRNA (ENSSSCG00005027296.1)". Lineage: Eukaryota; Metazoa; Chordata; Mammalia; Artiodactyla; Suidae. The record is from RNAcentral.
CCCCCUCAGCCAGCUGGGCAGUGACGGCCUCUGGAGCCAGGAGCCCACGCUCUCUCCUGGCCUCCUGCUUCUGGCCUGGCUGCCCGCCUGCCUGGCUCGCCACAGCCCCCAACCCCGGGCGGGCGCCCCG